Long non-coding RNA from Girardinichthys multiradiatus, 650 nucleotides. RefSeq lists it as uncharacterized. Lineage: Eukaryota; Metazoa; Chordata; Actinopteri; Cyprinodontiformes; Goodeidae. The record is from RefSeq and is a predicted model, not a curated record. The transcript is spliced from 3 exons.
UCUGCUGCUUGCCAGUUUCAACUUAACAUGGAGCGAGUUACUUUAUGUGUGUUAUGCAUGGAAAGCCGAACAACGGCUUUGUCGUUGACGCUCCUGGGUUCACCAGAUUCUCCAGAGACGGAACCUAUUUGGAGAGUACUACCACCUACUCCAGGAGCUGUGUCUGGAUGACGGUCAGUGUCAGCGGUACUUCUCUCUAUUCAGGACGUAGUCUGAGGGUCUUCUGUCCCGCCUUGGGGGAUGAAUCAGCCUCCAGGACACCAACUACAGGUGCUUUAUCCCUGCUGCUGAAUGCCUUGUCAUCUGUUUUCGGUCACCUCAUCUAUGCUGAGACAUUGUAGAGCCAUGCAUGAAAACAAUGAGACUAAUCAAGCAGGGCCGUGCUCAGGGAGAAGAAUAAUGUGGAUAUGGCCUUGGUCAGUAUAGAGAUUGAGGAUACCCAGCUCUUUAGUAUUGUGGAGGAUAUUGGGUUUAGAAAGAUUGUGGCGGCUUUGAACCCUACCUAUGUUCUCCGCACAAGGUAGGUGUGUAUCCACCUACCAUAAUAGCAUUCAAAGAAUCCUCUCUUCUUUCAUGUAGGCUUUGAAAGCAAUGGUUGAGCAUGAGGUGAAAACCAAAAGUAUUGUGACAAAAGCCUCAGCUGUUACUUU